GAUGAACGCUGGCGGCGUGCUUAACACAUGCAAGUCGAACGGAAAGGCCCAAGCUUGCUUGGGUACUCGAUUGGCGAACGGGUGAGUAACACGUGGGUGAUCUGCCCUGCACUUCGGGAUAAGCCUGGGAAACUGGGUCUAAUACCGGAUAGGACCACAUCUUGGAUGUUGUGGUGGAAAGUUUUUUCGGUGUGGGAUGAGCUCGCGGCCUAGCAGCUUGUUGGUGGGGUAAUGGCCUACCAAGGCGUCGACGGGUAGCCGGCCUGAGAGGGUGUACGGCCACAUUGGGACUGAGAUACGGCCCAGACUCCUACGGGAGGCAGCAGUGGGGAAUAUUGAACAAUGGGCGCCAGCCUGAUGCAGAGACGCCGCGUGGGGGAUGACGGCCUUCGGGUUGUAAACUCCUUUCGCUAGGGACGAAGCGUUUUGUGACGGUACCUGGAGAAGAAGCACCGGCUAACUACGUG
Molecule: ribosomal RNA, 467 nt
Filed under: uncultured bacterium
Lineage: Bacteria
Description: partial 16S ribosomal RNA
Rfam family: Bacterial small subunit ribosomal RNA
Source: RNAcentral